Molecule: long non-coding RNA, 242 nt
Filed under: Mus spicilegus (steppe mouse)
Lineage: Eukaryota; Metazoa; Chordata; Mammalia; Rodentia; Muridae
Description: lncRNA (ENSMSIG00000001531.1)
Source: RNAcentral
UUAUCAGUUGCAGAAAUCUACUGUUGCUGUUUACCUGAACGGUAAUAUUUACUGUUCUGAGGCUGUGCUUUCACUGAGAACAUGAUAGAAGUUGUCCUCAGAAGAUUGUGGAAAGACUGGGACAGGAAGCUAUGUGGUUUUUCAAAUAGCAAACAGAGCUGAGCGAUCCUUCCUGCACUGCAUAAGAUACAAGUAAGUUCUUUCUGACCACUUCUCCUGUAGCUGUUUGGGGCUGUUAAGUG